CUGGCGGCGUGCUUACACAUAGCAAGUCGAACGCGAAAGGGACUUACGGUCCUGAGUAAAGUAGGCGCACGGGUGAGUAACGCGUAGAUAACCUGUCUUCAUGUCUGGAAUAAUACGCCGAAAGGGGUACUAAUACCGGAUAUUCUUGCUUUUCAUAAGUUAUGCAAGCAAAGGUGGCCUCUGCAUAUGCUACUGCAUGAAGAGGGGUCUGCGUACCAUUAGCUAGUAGGUGGGGUAAUGGCCUACCUAGGCGACGAUGGUUAGCGGGUCUGAGAGGAUGAUCCGCCACACUGGCACUGGAACACGGGCCAGACUCCUACGGGAGGCAGCAGUGAGGAAUAUUGCGCAAUGGGGGAAACCCUGACGCAGCGACGCCGCGUGAGUGAAGGAAGGCCUUCGGGUCGUAAAGCUCUGUCAAGAGGAAAGAAGUGUACAAUGGCUAAUACCUGUUGUAUUUGACGGUACCUCUAAAGGAAGCACCGGCUAACUCCGUGCCAGCAGCCGC
This 505-nucleotide ribosomal RNA is filed under the name uncultured bacterium. Its description in RNAcentral is "bacterial SSU rRNA". It matches the Rfam family "Bacterial small subunit ribosomal RNA", at positions 36 to 518 of the family's 1533-position model. The record is from RNAcentral.